RNAcentral lists this ribosomal RNA (58 nucleotides) under uncultured bacterium. Its description in RNAcentral is "partial 16S ribosomal RNA". The record is from RNAcentral.
ACGCUAACCGCAAGGGGAAGGUCACGCCGGUACCACGGUAGGUUCAGCGACUGGGGUG